RNAcentral lists this transfer RNA (83 nucleotides) under Bacteriophage sp. RNAcentral's name for it is "tRNA-Tyr". It matches the Rfam family "tRNA". From Rfam's summary of the family: Transfer RNA (tRNA) molecules are approximately 80 nucleotides in length. Their secondary structure includes four short double-helical elements and three loops (D, anti-codon, and T loops). Further hydrogen bonds mediate the characteristic L-shaped molecular structure. tRNAs have two regions of fundamental functional importance: the anti-codon, which is responsible for specific mRNA codon recognition, and the 3' end, to which the tRNAs corresponding amino acid is attached (by aminoacyl-tRNA synthetases). tRNAs cope with the degeneracy of the genetic code in two manners: having more than one tRNA (with a specific anti-codon) for a particular amino acid; and 'wobble' base-pairing, i.e. permitting non-standard base-pairing at the 3rd anti-codon position. The record is from RNAcentral. RNAcentral also lists the same sequence under 3 other names.
GGGUAGGUAUGCAAGUGGUUAAAGUAGGCAGACUGUAAAUCUGUUGGCGAAAGCCUUCGAAAGUCCGAAUCUUUCCCUGCCCA